CUUUCGCAAGGCACUGUAGCUUGGCUCAGGGUUGCCAGUGUACGGGACUUUCCGCUGGCACCACACGCCACACUACAUACUGCUGAAUUUACUCAAGAAAAAUUGCCAAGAGUUAGUGAGUUAGAAAUGUGAGUGACUGAAAAGAGAUGUACAACGCCCAUGCUAGAAACUGCUGACUGCUGCGGUCUCUGCCAAAUCAUCCUGAAAAGAGAUGUAACACAUUAGGGACCACCCCGGUGAGAAGGGAACAGGGUGAGGCUCUGUCCAGACUGACAGAAAGAUUGACUGCAUCCUAUCCGCUGUUGCUUCCAAAAUGUGCCCAGCUCUCAGUUUAGCACUGCAAGUAUCUUCUUGUUUGAGGGUGUCAGCCACUCAAUGGCAUUAUGGGAAUACCGUCCAGGACACUCUGGGGAGGACAUUAAAGACCAGAAACAAAGACACCUUGAAACAACGUGAACAAGACUGAAGCUGUGGUGUAUGAGCGUGGUCAUCUUGUCACCCCUUAAGGAUAAAUCGCAAUUGAGUGGGCCCAGCAGGCCAGGUCACAGCCAAGUGGACCAGAAGGAGGAGAGCCCAUGGGGCCCUGGCCAGGAGCUGUUAGGCAUGCUGAAUUGAUGUAGAAUUGCCAGGAAAAUUUAAAGGGAGGGGAGAGAAAAAUGGGCACACUAUCACACACAUUAACUCCUCCCUCUGCUUUUUCUUUUGUGACUUUGGCUAAGAACCAAACCAAACAAAACAAAACAACUAAAUAGCCAGAAUUUUCAGAACGCCUUUUAUUGAGGGUACAUUCCCCAGUCCACUGUUAUUUACACAUUACUGCCAGGAUUGAUUUAGCUGUGAUUGAUUUCAUUUCAAUCUGAAUGUUUUUGGCUACAUGUGGCUAAGAACUAGAAGGCCCACAACUUUGGAAAAUGUUUUCUCAAAAGUUAUGGCUAAUUGACCUAAUUGGCUGCCAGUGGGAUGCACACUUUGAAUCUGCUCCAGUGACAUUUCUAAUGCAGUAGCGUGGUGUCAUUCUGCAUCUCGUUCAUUGGAAACACUUGUACAGUAAAUAAGGCAUGGAGAGACAGGGGGACUACACCACAAAAACCAAGGUUAAAAUGGAGAGUUUAGAGAGCAUUUACAGACCGUAGCGGUAGAGUUUUGAAUUGUCCUAAGUCAAAAUGUUAACCAGUGCAUUUCAACGUCAAUAAAACAAUUUUCUAUGAUACACCAGAACUGGUGCCUACAUGCAA
Long non-coding RNA from Monopterus albus (swamp eel), 1235 nucleotides. RefSeq lists it as uncharacterized. The transcript has 3 exons. The record is from RefSeq and is a predicted model, not a curated record. Lineage: Eukaryota; Metazoa; Chordata; Actinopteri; Synbranchiformes; Synbranchidae.